AUGAUUGUCAUACGUCAUAUUACUUGUUAGAAGGUCUGAAGUUUCCUUUCGCUCUUUGGAGAAUAGGCAAAGCCCACAGAAGAAAAGGCAGAUGAAAUAUACCUGCAGAAAUCUUUUCUCAAAACAAGACUUCCUUUGAGGAUGAUUCUGGGGAAAAUGCGGGAGACAAAAUGGCUCAUUUGGAUCCAAGGUUUCAAACAGCUCAUGAGAAAUUGGAACAGAAAAGCCAGCAGUGGCAGCCCAUGCCACAGAGCGCUCAGCUGAACCCCUGCCCAGCUCGCUGAGGUUCCAUGCACACCGGCUCUUGGCCCGGGAGAGUGAUGUGGGAAGAUACCAUCUGUCCAGAGAAGCAGACACAAGGAGCUUCCAAAAACAAAUAAAAACUAUGUAUACAUAUAUUUUUAAGAAGACGAGUAUCCAAUUUUUCAUGUCAAU
This is a long non-coding RNA of Diceros bicornis minor, 435 nucleotides long. RefSeq lists it as uncharacterized. Lineage: Eukaryota; Metazoa; Chordata; Mammalia; Perissodactyla; Rhinocerotidae. The transcript has 3 exons. The record is from RefSeq and is a predicted model, not a curated record.